This 1443-nucleotide long non-coding RNA is filed under the name Chinchilla lanigera (long-tailed chinchilla). RNAcentral describes it as "lncRNA (ENSCLAG00000023053.1)". The record is from RNAcentral. Lineage: Eukaryota; Metazoa; Chordata; Mammalia; Rodentia; Chinchillidae.
AAUCAGAUCUUCUGCCUGUUGAAACAUCUGACCUCUUUGACAGGACUGGACCGUCCUCAUCCAGACCUCUUUAGGUACUGUUUAUAAGUACCAACAGACCCAGUGGACCAAUGCACCCUGUACAUGGUCCCACCGAAGUUGGUCUGCUAUGGACCUCUGAGGAAUUCAUUAAUUUUCCAAAAUAAACAUAGAAGAUUCUUACGUUAAUGUAAUUGCUCAGUUCAAAGAUCAGCAAGCUCUGGCCAUGAGACAAGUUGCCCAUUUUUACAAAUAGAAUUGUAUUGAAAUACAGCCGUGGCCAUUUGUUAACAUACCGUCUAGCGCUGCUUUGGGGUGUGAUGGAAGCAUUGCAAAGCCUAAAAUAUUUACUACUUGACCCUUCAAGAAAAAUUUUGUGGACUCUUGUUCCAGUUUAUUCUAGAAAUGUUCAGCAUGUUUGGGAAAACUUUGGAUUGCUGUACAAAGUCAACAGCUACAAAGGAGUGGUACCCUGUUUUUCCAGGGCUAUUUUUAUGGCUUCAUAAUUCCUUAAUCACUGUAUGGAUUAAAUUAAACCAGAAGUCACUCAGACAUCUCUAAAAAUUAUCUUAUUGGCAUAACUAACGCACACUCAUGGAUGAAAAUUAGUCUUCCUACCAGCUGAAUCACAGCUUGCUUUUCACUUCUUGUAACAUCUUGCAACAUCACAAAAUAUUUGCUGCAGCUUGCGAAGGGCGGCUGCGGGAUGAGUAAACUGAGAGGAGGCCUUCCUUCACUCCCACCCUGUCAGCACCUUCUGUUCCAGCAGCCUGAAAGGCAGCUUGAGAGCUCUGAUUGCUUCUCCAGAUUAUGACAAUUCCUGGCAUCGUAGCCCUGGGCAAGAAUGGAAGCAAAGGAAACAUGGAGUUUUGCAGGUGUCAGUACAUAAUACUGUCAUUUUACAGAACUGAAUUUAUAAAUGACUCCAUGAAGGGCAGGCCAGAGAAAUGCAUGCUAAGGGAAGGAAAAAGGAAGCAUAUACAUGGAGUGAUGAGAAAUAUGGUGAGUAGGGCAUGGUUGCCAUGCCUGUAAUCCAGCGCUUGGGAGGCUGAGGCAGGAGGAUAGCCAUGAGUCUGAGGCCAGCCUAGGCUACAUACUGAGUUCAAAGCCAGCCUGAACUACAUAGUGCAAUUCUGUUUCAAAAAGGAAAAAAUAUAGUGUUUAAAUUAAAAAUGUAUUACAGUAAAAGACACAUUGCUAUUAAUCCCCCUCAAAAUCUUUCCUCACUUUAAACACACUUAUCCCGUCAUCCUUGCCACUUUCUGAGGCAGUUCUGGAAUCCUCUUUUGUGUCUUCAGUUGCAUUGUUAUACCUGCCUCAGUGUCCUGAAUUGAUUCAAAACACUUUUCAUGGUCUUUUUGAUUUGGGGGAAGAGUGACAUGGGUGCCAGAGUAAAUAAAUGGAUAAAGUAGGUGAGGACACGCA